This 22-nucleotide microRNA is filed under the name Medicago truncatula (barrel medic). RNAcentral describes it as "mtr-miR2118". Lineage: Eukaryota; Viridiplantae; Streptophyta; Magnoliopsida; Fabales; Fabaceae. The record is from miRBase by way of RNAcentral.
UUACCGAUUCCACCCAUUCCUA